GUGCUAAUCUGCGAUAAGCGCCGGUAAGGUGAUAUGAACCGUUAUAACCGGCGAUACCCGAAUGGGGAAACCCAGUGUGACUCGUCACACUAUCAUUAACUGAAUCCAUAGGUUAAUGAGGCGAACCGGGGGAACUGAAACAUCUAAGUACCCCGAGGAAAAGAAAUCAACCGAGAUUCCCCCAGUAGCGGCGAGCGAACGGGGAGGAGCCCAGAGCCUGAAUCAGCAUGUGUGUUAGUGGAAGCGUCUGGAAAGGCGCGCGAUACAGGGUGACAGCCCCGUACACAAAAGCGCAUGUGCUGUGAGCUCGAUGAGUAGGGCGGGACACGUGGUAUCCUGUCUGAAUAUGGGGGGACCAUCCUCCAAGGCUAAAUACUCCUGACUGACCGAUAGUGAACCAGUACCGUGAGGGAAAGGCGAAAAGAACCCCGGCGAGGGGAGUGAAAAAGAACCUGAAACCGUGUACGUACAAGCAGUGGGAGCACCCUUUGGGUGUGACUGCGUACCUUUUGUAUAAUGGGUCAGCGACUUAUAUUCUGUAGCAAGGUUAACCGAAUAGGGGAGCCGGAGGGAAACCGAGUCUUAACCGGGCGUUAAGUUGCAGGGUAUAGACCCGAAACCCGGUGAUCUAGCCAUGGGCAGGUUGAAGGUUGGGUAACACUAACUGGAGGACCGAACCGACUAAUGUUGAAAAAUUAGCGGAUGACCUGUGGCUGGGGGUGAAAGGCCAAUCAAACCGGGAGAUAGCUGGUUCUCCCCGAAAGCUAUUUAGGUAGCGCCUCGUGAAUUCAUCUCCGGGGGUAGAGCACUGUUUCGGCUAGGGGGCCAUCCCGGCUUACCAACCCGAUGCAAACUGCGAAUACCGGAGAAUGUUAUCACGGGAGACACACGGCGGGUGCUAACGUCCGUCGUGAAGAGGGAAACAACCCAGACCGCCAGCUAAGGUCCCAAAGUCAUGGUUAAGUGGGAAACGAUGUGGGAAGGCCCAGACAGCCAGGAUGUUGGCUUAGAAGCAGCCAUCAUUUAAAGAAAGCGUAAUAGCUCACUGGUCGAGUCGGCCUGCGCGGAAGAUGUAACGGGGCUAAACCAUGCACCGAAGCUGCGGCAGCGACACUGUGUGUUGUUGGGUAGGGGAGCGUUCUGUAAGCCUGUGAAGGUGUGUCGUGAGGCAUGCUGGAGGUAUCAGAAGUGCGAAUGCUGACAUAAGUAACGAUAAAGCGGGUGAAAAGCCCGCUCGCCGGAAGACCAAGGGUUCCUGUCCAACGUUAAUCGGGGCAGGGUGAGUCGACCCCUAAGGCGAGGCCGAAAGGCGUAGUCGAUGGGAAACGGGUUAAUAUUCCCGUACUUGGUGUUACUGCGAAGGGGGGACGGAGAAGGCUAUGUUGGCCGGGCGACGGUUGUCCCGGUUUAAGCGUGUAGGUGUGUGUUCCAGGUAAAUCCGGUUCACUUUAACACUGAGGCGUGACGACGAGGCACUACGGUGCUGAAGCAACAAAUGCCCUGCUUCCAGGAAAAGCCUCUAAGCAUCAGGUAACAUCAAAUCGUACCCCAAACCGACACAGGUGGUCAGGUAGAGAAUACCAAGGCGCUUGAGAGAACUCGGGUGAAGGAACUAGGCAAAAUGGUGCCGUAACUUCGGGAGAAGGCACGCUGACACGUAGGUGAAGUGAUUUACUCAUGGAGCUGAAGUCAGUCGAAGAUACCAGCUGGCUGCAACUGUUUAUUAAAAACACAGCACUGUGCAAACACGAAAGUGGACGUAUACGGUGUGACGCCUGCCCGGUGCCGGAAGGUUAAUUGAUGGGGUCAGCGCAAGCGAAGCUCCUGAUCGAAGCCCCGGUAAACGGCGGCCGUAACUAUAACGGUCCUAAGGUAGCGAAAUUCCUUGUCGGGUAAGUUCCGACCUGCACGAAUGGCGUAAUGAUGGCCAGGCUGUCUCCACCCGAGACUCAGUGAAAUUGAACUCGCUGUGAAGAUGCAGUGUACCCGCGGCAAGACGGAAAGACCCCGUGAACCUUUACUAUAGCUUGACACUGAACAUUGAGCCUUGAUGUGUAGGAUAGGUGGGAGGCUUUGAAGUGUGGACGCCAGUCUGCAUGGAGCCGACCUUGAAAUACCACCCUUUAAUGUUUGAUGUUCUAACGUGGACCCGUUACCCGGGUUGCGGACAGUGUCUGGUGGGUAGUUUGACUGGGGCGGUCUCCUCCUAAAGAGUAACGGAGGAGCACGAAGGUUGGCUAAUCCUGGUCGGACAUCAGGAGGUUAGUGCAAUGGCAUAAGCCAGCUUGACUGCGAGCGUGACGGCGCGAGCAGGUGCGAAAGCAGGUCAUAGUGAUCCGGUGGUUCUGAAUGGAAGGGCCAUCGCUCAACGGAUAAAAGGUACUCCGGGGAUAACAGGCUGAUACCGCCCAAGAGUUCAUAUCGACGGCGGUGUUUGGCACCUCGAUGUCGGCUCAUCACAUCCUGGGGCUGAAGUAGGUCCCAAGGGUAUGGCUGUUCGCCAUUUAAAGUGGUACGCGAGCUGGGUUUAGAACGUCGUGAGACAGUUCGGUCCCUAUCUGCCGUGGGCGCUGGAGAACUGAGGGGGGCUGCUCCUAGUACGAGAGGACCGGAGUGGACGCAUCACUGGUGUUCGGGUUGUCAUGCCAAUGGCACUGCCCGGUAGCUAAAUGCGGAAGAGAUAAGUGCUGAAAGCAUCUAAGCACGAAACUUGCCCCGA
RNAcentral lists this ribosomal RNA (2719 nucleotides) under Salmonella enterica subsp. enterica serovar Enteritidis. RNAcentral describes it as "partial 23S ribosomal RNA". It matches the Rfam family "Bacterial large subunit ribosomal RNA". Lineage: Bacteria; Pseudomonadati; Pseudomonadota; Gammaproteobacteria; Enterobacterales; Enterobacteriaceae. The record is from RNAcentral.